CGAUGUCGGCUCAUCACAUCCUGGGGCUGAAGCAGGUCCCAAGGGUUCGGCUGUUCGCCGAUUAAAGUGUUACGCGAGCUGGGUUCAGAACGUCGUGAGACAGUUCGGUCCUUAUCCUCCGCAGGCUAAGGACGGUUGACGGGCGCGCCCCCUAGUACGAGAGGACCGGGGGCGGGUGACCUCUGGUGUUCCGGUUGUCUGGCCUACGGGCAUUGCCGGGUAGCUAUGUCGCGACAGGAUAAGCGCUGAAAGCAUCUAAGCGCCAAGCCCCCCCGAAGAAGGCCGUCCCUGGUCGCAAGACCCUAAAGACCCCCGGAAGACCACCGGGUUGACAGGGCGCAAGUGGAAGACCCGCGAGGGUUGCAGCUUAGCGCUGCUGAUAGGUCGUGAGGUCUGGCCGCCUUCU
Molecule: ribosomal RNA, 406 nt
Filed under: Lentisphaerota bacterium
Lineage: Bacteria; Pseudomonadati; Lentisphaerota
Description: Lentisphaerae bacterium (anaerobic digester metagenome) partial 23S ribosomal RNA
Rfam family: Bacterial large subunit ribosomal RNA
Source: RNAcentral